CAUGUAUUAUAUACAGUAAGUGAACUUCAGGUUGACUAUCAGAAACAUGUAUUAUAUAUAGUAAGUGAACUUCAGGUUGACUGUGAGAAACAUGUAUUAUAUACAGUAAGUGAACUUCAGGUUGACUGUGAGAAACAUGUAUUAUAUACAGUAAGUGAACUUCAGGUUGACUGUGAGAAACAUGUAUUAUAUACAGUAAGUGAACUUCAGGUUGACUGUGAGAAACAUGUAUUAUAUACAGUAAGUGAACUUCAGGGUGACUGUGAGGAACAUGUAUUAUAUACAGUAAGUGAACUUCAGGUUGACUGUGAGAAACAUGUAUUAUAUACAGUAAGUGAACUUCAGGUUGACUAUCAGAAACAUGUAUUAUAUAUAGUAAGUGAACUUCAGGUUGACUGUGAGAAACAUGUAUUAUAUACAGUAAGUGAACUUCAGGUUGACUGUGAGAAACAUGUAUUAUAUACAGUAAGUGAAC
Brienomyrus brachyistius is the source of this 475-nucleotide long non-coding RNA. RefSeq lists it as uncharacterized. The transcript is spliced from 3 exons. Lineage: Eukaryota; Metazoa; Chordata; Actinopteri; Osteoglossiformes; Mormyridae. The record is from RefSeq and is a predicted model, not a curated record.